GGUCAAGUGACCAAGGGCUUACGGUGGAUACCUAGGCAUUCAGAAGCGAUGAAGGGCGCGGUAACCGGCGAAACGCUUCGGAGAGCUGGAAACAAGCUUUGAUCCGGAGAUACCCGAAUGAGGCAACUCCUUGUACUAUCUACUGAAUAGAUAAGUAGAUAAGAGCGAACUCGGUGAACUGAAACAUCUUAGUAACCGAAGGAAAAGAAAGCAAAAGCGAUUCUCUUAGUAGCGGCGAGCGAAACGGGACCAGCCUAAACUAUCGAGCUUGUCUUGAUAGGGUUGUGGGACAGCAUAAUGAUAUCGCGCGAAUUAGAAGAAGCAAUUGAAUGUUGCACCUUAGAGGGUGAAAGUCCCGUAUUCGAAAAUUCAAACGAGUUAGCUGUAUCCCGAGUAGCAUGGGGCACGUGAAAUCCCGUGUGAAUCUGCGAGGACCACCUCGUAAGGCUAAAUAUUCCUGAAUGACCGAUAGCGCAACAGUACCGUGAGGGAAAGGUGAAAAGAACCCCGGG
Molecule: ribosomal RNA, 512 nt
Filed under: Cyanophora paradoxa
Lineage: Eukaryota; Glaucocystophyceae; Cyanophorales; Cyanophoraceae
Description: bacterial LSU rRNA
Rfam family: Bacterial large subunit ribosomal RNA
Source: RNAcentral